UUUAAAUAAAAUGCAACCCUGUGCUUCAUUUUCUUCAGCAAAAUUUGCAACGCAAAAAGGAGAGAUUUAAUUAAAUUAAAGUUUUAAGUGUUAAAUUUAGUAAAUUGGUUAUAAAUUUUUUUUGAAAAUGAGUAAAUAAGAAGUGAAACUUUAUUAAUAAGCUGUAAAAUAACUACACGAAGAAAUUGGCAUCUUGAUUUCAUAACGAUUUAAUCACAAUAUUUGUGCCCUAACCAAAUCCCCUCUAUGUGUAAAAUAUAUCAUCAAAAAAUAGUAACUAAUUUAAUAAAAUUAAAUACAUUUGUAUAAAUCAUCAA
Long non-coding RNA from Lucilia cuprina (Australian sheep blowfly), 317 nucleotides. RefSeq lists it as uncharacterized. The record is from RefSeq and is a predicted model, not a curated record. Lineage: Eukaryota; Metazoa; Arthropoda; Insecta; Diptera; Calliphoridae. The transcript has 2 exons.